GACGAACGCUGGCGGCGUGCUUAACACAUGCAAGUCGAACGGGCCUGUCUUCUUUUUUGGGGGUGGGUUGAGUGGCGAACGGGUGAGUAUCACGUGAGUAACCUGCCCUUCGGUCCUGGAUAACCGCUUGAAAGGGCGGCUAAUACGGGGUGGUCCGGUUGGUCCGCAUGGGCUGGUCGGGAUAGAUUCACUGUUUUUGGUGUUUCGGCGGGGGAUGGGCUCGCGGCCUAUCAGCUUGUUGGUGGGGUGAUGGCCUACCAAGGCGGUGACGGGUAGCCGGCCUGAGAGGGUGGGCGGCCACACUGGGACUGAGAUACGGCCCAGACUCCUGCGGGAGGCAGCAGUGGGGGGUAUUGCACAAUGGGCGGAAGCCUGAUGUAGCGACGUCGCGUGAGGGAUGGAGGCCUUCGGGUUGUGAACCUCUGUUUCCGGUGGUGAAGGCCCUGUCCGUGUGGUGGGGUUGACGGUAGCCGGGGAUGAAGCGCCGGCUAACUACGUG
Molecule: ribosomal RNA, 499 nt
Filed under: uncultured bacterium
Lineage: Bacteria
Description: partial 16S ribosomal RNA
Rfam family: Bacterial small subunit ribosomal RNA
Source: RNAcentral